UGAGCUCCUACUGAGUACACUACAUGGAUGU
This 31-nucleotide non-coding RNA is filed under the name Homo sapiens (human). The record is from RNAcentral. Lineage: Eukaryota; Metazoa; Chordata; Mammalia; Primates; Hominidae.